GUCUACUGCCAUGCCACCCUGAACAAACCCUAUCCCAUCUGAUCUUGGGAGCUUAGCAGGAUCGGGUCAGUGCUUGGAUGGGAGACCACCUAGGAAGACCAGGUGCUGUAGGCG
Molecule: ribosomal RNA, 114 nt
Filed under: Pteropus alecto (black flying fox)
Lineage: Eukaryota; Metazoa; Chordata; Mammalia; Chiroptera; Pteropodidae
Source: RNAcentral